Molecule: long non-coding RNA, 303 nt
Organism: Cyprinus carpio (common carp)
Lineage: Eukaryota; Metazoa; Chordata; Actinopteri; Cypriniformes; Cyprinidae
Exons: 3
Source: RefSeq, a predicted model, not a curated record
GCGGCGUAUUUCACAGAGGCGGAGUUGAAAGUUUUAAUGCAUGCUUAUGAGGAGUUUAAGCCAAUAAUAUUAAAAAGAAGCAAUACAGCUGCAUCGGCUAAAGCAAGAGAGUUGGCUUGGCAAAAAAUAACGGACAGAGUAAAUGCGUGUAAUCCUUCUGGAGCCACAAGAACUUUAAGCCAAGUCAAAAUGAAACACAAAAACAUUCUGCAAAAAGCUAACAGAAAGAAGACUGAAGCCCGUCUAACUGGCGGGGGGCCACCACCACCUCCCCUCACCCCAUCUGAGGAGCUGGCUCUGUCC